UCUUUGGGACAAAUUUAGGAUUAAUAUGGGGAUUGUUUUUGGAGGUAUUCACUUUACAUGGUGUUCAAGAUGGUUACUUCCGCCCACUCUGAAGAGUCUCGGCGUCUGAUUGGUCCAAUUUUCAGUUAGGCGCCGCCUGAUUGGCCGCUGGACGAUGUCUGCUCCUAACAGAGGGCUAAAUCACUAGUUAACUAUUUUCAUCAUGGAAGUUAUACAGCUCAUGUAUCACACUUAAUAUUGAAUAUAUAUAUAAAAAGGGUUUUCCAAAAGGACCAUUUAUAAUCGAAAUACACAACUUCACACACGAUUUUGAGCACAACAGAGCGCUCAGUGAACAUCACUUCCGGGACCUGCAUCACCAGAGGGGGACAUCUAUCUUGGCCACAAACCAUCUUUGACAGUCUUCGACAGCAUGGUUGAAUCAGGCGCAUCAACACAUGAUAUAGACAUCGUGCCCAAAAGAAGAGCGAGACGUAAUCCUGAGGCUGAAGCCACCGAGUUUAUUUGAUCUGGAUGUGACAAGUCUUGUUUUAAGGCCCAGUGGAUCAAUGAUUGGAAAGACACCAACUGUUGAUGUUCUAUCUCAACAUUCUCCAGAUUCAUGUGAGCGAUAAACCGACUUCAUCCCUCCAACAGACACCAACUGUUGGGGUUCUAUCUCAACAUUCUCCAGAUUCAGAUGUGAGCGAUAAACCGACUUCAUCCCUCCAACAGAAACCAACUGUUGAGGUUCCAUCUCAACAUUCUCCGGAUUCAGAUGUGAGCCAUUAACUGACUUCAUCCCUCCAACAGAAACCAACUGUUGGAGGUUCUAUCUCAACAUUCUCUAGAUUCAGAUGACAGCCAUAAACCAACUUCAUCCCUCCAACAGGUUAUUACAUGUCUAUUUUUACUAUAUCUGCUCUAAAUUUGACCCAACCUAUAUUUUGAAAGACAUUUAUUAAUUUUAAUCUCUCACAGAUCAGUUUACAUGACAACAUUUUCGUAAGGGUACAUCCAUGUUAGUCAGUAGGGAGUUUGGAACUCAUGUUUAGCAAAACAGGAGAUGUUACAAGUCAACAACAUAAAU
Molecule: long non-coding RNA, 1069 nt
Organism: Nerophis ophidion (straightnose pipefish)
Lineage: Eukaryota; Metazoa; Chordata; Actinopteri; Syngnathiformes; Syngnathidae
Exons: 6
Source: RefSeq, a predicted model, not a curated record